CAAGUUUGUCUCGGACAUUUGUUGAAUCUCCAAGCGAGAAAUUAUGAAUGUGUCGACAAUGAUCCGUCUUUACAAGUUUUAUUUCUCGGUUGUAUCGACAGAGCAAUUGUUUUUCAGCUGAAAAGGACAAAGUGUUCACACAGAAGAUUGUAGGAAAUGAAGACGUGUGAGAAGACGAAAAGGGAAAGAGAAGGAAAGGAAAAAGCUGCGACCAUAAUUCAUGUAUAUUUUCCAAAAUAUAUUGAACAGUUGUCGCAUUUUUCAUGCCACUCCUGGCUUGAGGUCAUUUCCAUAAAGAAAAAUCAAUACUCAAAUCUCUUGAGACUAUUAUUAGUCUCACAAUCCAUCACAGUGAACAAGUUGCAUUCAUUUAAUCAGUCCACGCUCACGGUCAUGGCUACAGACGACGACUACAGACGGCAGGUCAUCGUGUCAGUGAGCCGGCGACAGGACCGAGGUUUCACUCAUCUGUCGGAAGGAGGAAGAGGAGGAGAUGAUCCAUCUGAUUCUCUGUGAUGCAGAACCUGAAACAAGCAGAAGUGAAAGUAUGAAUGGAAAGACAUUAACAGCAUGUAACUUUUAGACAGAGGUCUACACAGGAAAUUAAAAAAGUCGAUGUCAUGCAUGGUGAUCAAAUAAAAAAUGAUCAAAA
This is a long non-coding RNA of Scophthalmus maximus (turbot), 652 nucleotides long. RefSeq lists it as uncharacterized. The record is from RefSeq and is a predicted model, not a curated record. The transcript is spliced from 2 exons. NCBI's taxonomy places the organism in Eukaryota, Metazoa, Chordata, Actinopteri, Pleuronectiformes, Scophthalmidae.